UACGUAGGGGGCGAGCGUUGUCCGGAUUUAUUGGGCGUAAAGAGCGUGUAGGCGGCCAGGUAGGUCUGCUGUGAAAACUCGAGGCUCAACCUCGAGACGUCGGCGGAAACCAUCUGGCUAGAGUCCGGAAGAGGAGAGUGGAAUUCCUGGUGUAGCGGUGAAAUGCGCAGAUAUCAGGAAGAACACCCGUGGCGAAGGCGGCUCUCUGGGACGGUACUGACGCUGACAGCGCGAAAGCUAGGGGAGCGAACGGG
Molecule: ribosomal RNA, 254 nt
Filed under: uncultured bacterium
Lineage: Bacteria
Description: partial 16S ribosomal RNA
Rfam family: Bacterial small subunit ribosomal RNA
Source: RNAcentral